CUGUGUCAUCCCCUGAGUGAACAUGGGAUUAGUCCCCAUCGUGCACAGAGCUCAUGCUGAGACCAAGAAGCUCUUCACAACUGAAAGCGUCUUUAUGCAGUACAGUGCGUCUUCCCCAGCAGCAUUCGCUUGGGGCACCUCCUCCCAUGGAACAGGGGCAGUAAUUUCACAGGUGAUGGAAGAUCACACUGACAGGCCUAUUGCCUUUGCUUCACCAUCUCUUGCUCUGCAGAUGGAACUAUGCACAAAUGGAUUGAGAAGCUAGAAAUUUNGGGGCACCUCCUCCCAUGGAACAGGGGCAGUAAUUUCACAGGUGAUGGAAGAUCACACUGACAGGCCUAUUGCCUUUGCUUCACCAUCUCUUGCUCUGCAGAUGGAACUAUGCACAGUCUGCAGACUUCAAUUUUCACUAGUCUUUGUCUAGGAAAGAAUUUAAUCUGCUCACAGCUCAACCACUAGUUUCACCUUUUAACCCAAAGAAAGGUGUCCUGGCACUGGCUGCAGCACGGCUCGGAGCUGGGUGAUGCCCUGGGCACUGACCUUUCACGAGAUUGAAAGUACCAGCCAAUCUACGAAUGCUGAUUGCUAGUAACGAUUGCCAUUGGAUGCGGCUGGUGGAGACUGAAGGGGAACCAGAGACAAUCGAUAUGUUCUACAGGGCACAAAUUGAACCCUUGGAAACACUGUGGCACAACACGGAACUAAAAAUGUCACCUGGCGACAGGAUGAGGACAAUGCCUGGGUGGAUUUCUGCACACAAACAGCUCUGUCCAGCUUUCCUUGCUUUGAAAGAAGGAUUCAGGGGACAUCAAGGCUGCUGUGACAGGGUGUUCACCCCACACUCUCCCCGUAGGAGGCCAGCCUGGCAAUGGCUGCAGCACGGCUCAGAGCUGGAUGAUGCCCUGGGCGCUGACCGUUCACAAGAUUGAAAGUACCAGCCGACCUACGAAUGCCGAUUGCUAAGUAACGCCUGCCAUUGGACGUGGGUUGCCAACUUUGUAAUCCUGAAAACCGAACACCCCUGCCCCACCCCUUCCUCUGAGGCCCUGCCUCUGCUCCGCCUCUUCCUCUGAGACCCCGCCCCCGUCCCAUCUCCCCCCACCCCCAUUGCUGGCUCCCCCUUUUCCAGGAUUCACAGAGCCGGGCCGGGAGAAGAUGAUGCGGAGCCUGCCCAGUUGGGGCACAGAGCAGC
This 1192-nucleotide long non-coding RNA is filed under the name Gopherus agassizii (Agassiz's desert tortoise). Its description in RNAcentral is "lncRNA (ENSGAGG00000015861.1)". The record is from RNAcentral. Lineage: Eukaryota; Metazoa; Chordata; Testudines; Testudinidae.